UACGGAGGGUGCGAGCGUUGUUCGGAAUCAUUGGGCGUAAAGCGUACGUAGGCGGUGAAGUAUGUCUGGUGUGAAAGUUUGGGGCUCAACUCCAAAAGUGCAUUGGAAACUGCUUCACUUGAAUCUUGGAGAGGUUGGCGGAAUUCCUGGUGUAGAGGUGAAAUUCGUAGAUAUCAGGAGGAACACCGGUGGCGAAGGCGGCCAACUGGACAAUGAUUGACGCUGAGGUACGAAAGCGUGGGGAGCAAACAGG
Molecule: ribosomal RNA, 253 nt
Filed under: uncultured bacterium
Lineage: Bacteria
Description: partial 16S ribosomal RNA
Rfam family: Bacterial small subunit ribosomal RNA
Source: RNAcentral